UGUACUUUGUAGUGAUUUCUGAAAUUUUGUAAAUUUAUUUGUGAAGGCCAUAACUCCAUGUCGUCUUGCCCUUGAGGAUAAAGUUUUGGGUAACAAAGUGAUAGUGGCAGAUGGUAUGGCGUACCCAUUGGAUGGUUCGUUGCACCAACACUUUAGAUCGAUGAAGCCUAGUCAUUAUAAGGUCCAAGUUGAUUGUAUUUACGACGGACAUGAUGAUGACACUCUUCCGGUACCUACUGGAGAUGGAUUCAAUAACUUAGGCAGGGCUCUUGCUAGUUUUGUGCAAUGGCCAAUUCACUUGGUGAUUUUCGAAGAAGACGAGGAGUACUCUACUCCACGCCCAACAAAGAAGUCCAGGAGUCAGAUUUUUGAAGAGGUGGUUGGUAGCUCCAAAGAGAAGAAAACGAAUUAAUUGUCAAAGAGAAGACAACAGAAUUAGUUGUCAAAGAUAAGACAACAGAAUUAAUUGUCAAAGAGAAGGCAACACUUGAUUUAGGGUCCAAAGAGAAGACAACACUGAAGUUAACGGCCAAGGAAAAUUCAUGCUCAAAUAAGUUGGAGUCGAAAUCGAAGUCGAAGAACUCUAAGAUGGCCAAAGAGAUGGUAGGUAGUUGUGAUCGUAAAACUGAAGAAUCAGCCGCCAAAAGUAAGAAGCAAAAUUUGGCAGACGACACAAUUCAAGGUCUUGGCCCAUCAUGCAAUUAUUUGAAGUUUAUCAUCAAUACGGCGCCCGGUGAUGUAUAUAAAAAUACUUCAA
Molecule: long non-coding RNA, 757 nt
Organism: Spinacia oleracea (spinach)
Lineage: Eukaryota; Viridiplantae; Streptophyta; Magnoliopsida; Caryophyllales; Amaranthaceae
Exons: 3
Source: RefSeq, a predicted model, not a curated record